RNAcentral lists this ribosomal RNA (288 nucleotides) under Pedobacter frigidisoli. RNAcentral's name for it is "Pedobacter sp. RP-3-11 partial 16S ribosomal RNA". It matches the Rfam family "Bacterial small subunit ribosomal RNA", at positions 1 to 288 of the family's 1533-position model. Lineage: Bacteria; Pseudomonadati; Bacteroidota; Sphingobacteriia; Sphingobacteriales; Sphingobacteriaceae. The record is from RNAcentral.
UACAAUGGAGAGUUUGAUCCUGGCUCAGGAUGAACGCUAGCGGCAGGCCUAAUACAUGCAAGUCGAACGAUAGUUGGGGCUUGCCCCAACGAAAAGUGGCGCACGGGUGCGUAACGCGUAUGCAACCUACCUUCAUCUGGGGGAUAGCCCGGAGAAAUCCGGAUUAAUACCGCAUAAAAUCACAGAAUGGCAUUAUUCAAUGAUCAAACAUUUAUGGGAUGGAGAUGGGCAUGCGUGUCAUUAGCUAGUUGGCGGGGUAACGGCCCACCAAGGCGACGAUGACUAGGG